Molecule: ribosomal RNA, 505 nt
Filed under: uncultured bacterium
Lineage: Bacteria
Description: partial 16S ribosomal RNA
Rfam family: Bacterial small subunit ribosomal RNA
Source: RNAcentral
GACGAACGCUGGCGGCGUGCCUAAUACAUGCAAGUCGAACGCACAGUUUAUACCGUAGCUUGCUACACCAUAGACUGUGAGUUGCGAACGGGUGAGUAACGCGUAGGUAGCCUGCCUGGUAGCGGGGGGUAACUAUUGGAAACGAUAGCUAAUACCGCAUAAUAUUGAUUAUUGCAUGAUAAUUGAUUGAAAGAUGCUAUUGCAUCACUACCAGAUGGACCUGCGUUGUAUUAGCUAGUAGGUGAGGUAACGGCUCACCUAGGCGACGAUACAUAGCCGACCUGAGAGGGUGAUCGGCCACACUGGGACUGAGACACGGCCCAGACUCCUACGGGAGGCAGCAGUAGGGAAUCUUCGGCAAUGGACGAAAGUCUGACCGAGCAACGCCGCGUGAGUGAAGAAGGUUUUCGGAUCGUAAAGCUCUGUUGUAAGAGAAGAACGGGUGUGAGAGUGGAAAGUUCACACUGUGACGGUAUCUUACCAGAAAGGGACGGCUAACCACGUG